Long non-coding RNA from Eubalaena glacialis (North Atlantic right whale), 785 nucleotides. RefSeq lists it as uncharacterized. The record is from RefSeq and is a predicted model, not a curated record. The transcript has 5 exons. Lineage: Eukaryota; Metazoa; Chordata; Mammalia; Artiodactyla; Balaenidae.
CCCGUGCGCUCGUCUGGGCCCUUACAUGGUGCACAGCUCGUCCGUUCGGCCCUGUAGCUCUUGCAGGCCCCGCGCGGCCUGAGCCUGCUCGCGCUGCGCCCGCUCCCACUGGCCCAGGAAGCCGUCGAGCCUGCCGCCCAGGCCCCCGAGCAGCCGUAGGGCCUCCUGCACGGCCCCCUCCUCCUGAUGCCACCGGGCGGUCAGUGAGGACACCUCCCUCCUGUAGGCGUAGAGGGAGGGAUGCCCCAUUCGAAGCCCAGCUGGAGUCCAACUCACCUUGGACUGAAUGCCUGCCUCUGUGUCUCCAUCUAGCCCUCCACCCUCACUCUAAUCCUCGAAGCAUCUUCCACCGACCGGCUCACCUUCCAGCAGUUCUCCUGGGUCAGGACACCAGGACGGGGGCCCUGUCUUCCCAUUCCAGUUCCGCCUCCCAACCGUUACCCUGGCUAUUUUCCAUACAGCUUCCACCCCGCCGCGUUUAAGGCACGCCCCCUCCUUCCGUAAGCUGGUGAUGGAAUCUUUGGCGUGGACCAAUCCACUGUUAACCCAACUCUGGGGAAGAACGGGAGACAGGGGACACGGGUUCGAGCCCUGGUCUGGGAAGAUCCCACAUGCUGCGGAGCAACUGGGCCCGUGAGCCACAACUACUGAGCCUGCGCGUCUGGAGCUUGUGCUCCGCAACAAAAGAGGCCGCGACAGUGAGAGGCCCGCGCACCGCGAUGAGGAGUGGCCCCUGCUCGCCGCAACUAGAGAAAGCCCUCGCACAGAAAUGAAGACCCAACACA